This 440-nucleotide ribosomal RNA is filed under the name uncultured bacterium. RNAcentral's name for it is "partial 16S ribosomal RNA". It matches the Rfam family "Bacterial small subunit ribosomal RNA", at positions 338 to 795 of the family's 1533-position model. The record is from RNAcentral.
CCUACGGGUGGCAGCAGUGGGGAAUAUUGCACAAUGGGGGAAACCCUGAUGCAGCGACGCCGCGUGAGUGAAGAAGUAAUUCGUUAUGUAAAGCUCUAUCAGCAGGGAAGAAAAGGACGGUACCUGAGUAAGAAGCCCCGGCUAACUACGUGCCAGCAGCCGCGGUAAGACGUCGGGGGCAAGCGUUAUCCGGAUUUACUGGGUGUAAAGGGAGCGUAGACGGCAGUGCAAGUCUGGAGUGAAAGGCGGGGGCUCAACCCCCGGACUCCUCGGGAACCUGUACGGCGGGAGUGCAGGAGAGGUAAGUGGCAUUCCUAGUGUCGCGGUGACAUGCGUAGAUAUUAGGCGGAACCCCAGUGGCGAAGGCGGCUUACUGGACUGUACCUGCCGUUGAGGCUCGACAGCGUGGGGAGCAAACAGGAUUAGAUACCCUAGUAGUC